Molecule: long non-coding RNA, 503 nt
Filed under: Nicotiana benthamiana
Lineage: Eukaryota; Viridiplantae; Streptophyta; Magnoliopsida; Solanales; Solanaceae
Description: long non-coding RNA (NBEN_LNC011030)
Source: RNAcentral
UCCAGAAUAAUUUGGCCUUAGCUUUCAGCCGGCAAAAUGAUAGCCACUUAGCACAAAAGUCAUAACAAGAGCAAGAGAGAGCUUAAGUUUUAUAGUGAGAAUAGGAGAGUUCGAGUGUUUUUAAAAGGGAAAAGGGGAAGGGUUUUAUAGCGUACAAUAGAGUAAAACAAAUAAAGGUAUGAAUCAAUCACAUGCAAAUAAAGUACGACACUCAAUUAGCAAUAAGUUAAGGUUGGCAUAGACCAAUUAACAUGCAUAAAUCAAGCUAGCAUCAGUUAAUGAGAUCAAUCAGUAGUCAAAUAAGGUAAGGUAUAAUUCCAAAAUCAAUUACAAGUUGACUCUAUAUAAAAUCAGGGCAGUAAGGUUAAGUAGCAAAGAUUACUAAUCAGACAUUUGUCCAAAUAAGGUAAGAACAGGUAAGUCGAACAAGAUAGGAAAAUCAGUAUCGUACAGGAAAGGAAAGAAUAAAAUCUUAGUAAGGGUUUCAAAAACCUAAUUUUUUU